RNAcentral lists this ribosomal RNA (570 nucleotides) under Aradophagus sp. M172. RNAcentral describes it as "eukaryotic LSU rRNA". Lineage: Eukaryota; Metazoa; Arthropoda; Insecta; Hymenoptera; Scelionidae. The record is from RNAcentral.
CCCGAAAGAUCGAAUGAGGAGACUCAUCGCAAGCGGUAUUGGCUUCCUUGUGGUUCGCGAUGAGUUGGGUUUAACUUUAAUUCACGCGGCCGCUUGGUAUGUCCGGUAACGUCGGCGUGCAUUUCUUCUCUAGUAGAACGUCGCGACCCGUUGGGUGUCGGUUUAAGGCCCGAUUCGUAGUCUGUUCCGUCGCUUCGGCGCACGUGUACAAACGUUUGGUGUCCCGAUCGACUGCCCGACGGUAAAAAAGAUGGUAUCGAGCCGCACUCGAAUGCGUUCAGACUCGUCGCAAGUCGGAUCACUGUUUCUCGGAGCACGGACCCAGUGCCGUUCCUGAGGGUGGUUGGCUGUUGGCGGACGAAGUUCUCGAACCGGCUUAGAACAUUGUCUCUUGAACGAUACCAGUCGGCGGCGCUAUUGCUUUGGGUACUUUCAGGACCCGUCUUGAAACACGGACCAAGGAGUCUAACAUGUGCGCGAGUCAUUGGGAUUUUAAAACCUAAAGGCGUAUUGAAAGAAAAGAUCGGCCUUGCGUCGAUUGAGGGAGGAUGGGCUGUGUUGAGGUGUUGC